AGAAUCUCUAGGAGGAAACGAUCUAGGUUAGCUGGAUCAAAUAGCAACUCUUCUAUUGGGUACAUACAAUUGAAUCAUCACUGGCUAGGAAAGUUUAACUGUGAUCUGUUUUGGUUCAGUGUUAUCCAAUUUUGCGCGACAGCAUUUGGAUACUAUGCUCAAGCAACCGCAGCACAGGAAAUUUUUGGGCACACAUUGGAGUCCCUUCGUGGAAUUAAAUACUUGUACAAGUAUAAUGUAUUCCAGAUUGCUUUUGUCGCUCUAGCUGGAUUAACCUUUGUGUAUUAUGCCUCCUUUGGAUGGAGGAGAAAAAAACCCAGUGGCAGGUUCCAGCUUUCUAGCUAAAAUUGGAUCUUCCAAAAUGGGCUAGAGCUGCCAUCGUUAGUUGCUUCUCUGGUUAUUAUCCUCUCCAGAGCGAUCUUGAAUGCAGAUACGGUUAUGCCCUGAUGUUGUCUUUUGUGGAAAGAAGUGAAGGUUUUGGCAUCCGCGAUGGAUUUGAUUGCUGCAGAAAGGAUGACUUUUUGCGUGCUGGCCACAAUUACUGAUGCUCUUUCUGCAAUGACCUUCUGUAUGUAGAAUUUCUUUUUUCUGAUUGUAGAAUACCUUGUUUGAGCAUGUGAUUGAAAAUGAAGAGUACUUCGCGACAUGGAGGAUUAAGAUUUACACUGUCCUGAGAUGUAAGAUAAUCAAAUUGAGAAGAGCGCUUCUGUUCAGUUGUAUUGUCCUGUGUGUAAUUUGAGUGGGUUCUUGGUGUGCAAACAUGUCUUGAGCAGGAUAGUGAA
Long non-coding RNA from Rhodamnia argentea, 782 nucleotides. RefSeq lists it as uncharacterized. Lineage: Eukaryota; Viridiplantae; Streptophyta; Magnoliopsida; Myrtales; Myrtaceae. The record is from RefSeq and is a predicted model, not a curated record. The transcript is spliced from 3 exons.